RNAcentral lists this ribosomal RNA (266 nucleotides) under uncultured Staphylococcus sp. RNAcentral describes it as "partial 16S ribosomal RNA". It matches the Rfam family "Bacterial small subunit ribosomal RNA", at positions 96 to 355 of the family's 1533-position model. The record is from RNAcentral. Lineage: Bacteria; Bacillati; Bacillota; Bacilli; Caryophanales; Staphylococcaceae.
CGGCGGACGGGUGAGUAACACGUGGAUAACCUACCUAUAAGACUGGGAUAACUUCGGGAAACCGGAGCUAAUACCGGAUAAUAUAUUGAACCGCAUGGUUCAAUAGUGAAAGACGGUUUUGCUGUCACUUAUAGAUGGAUCCGCGCCGCAUUAGCUAGUUGGUAAGGUAACGGCUUACCAAGGCGACGAUACGUAGCCGACCUGAGAGGGUGAUCGGCCACACUGGAACUGAGACACGGUCCAGACUCCUACGGGAGGCAGCAGUC